Molecule: ribosomal RNA, 443 nt
Filed under: uncultured bacterium
Lineage: Bacteria
Description: partial 16S ribosomal RNA
Rfam family: Bacterial small subunit ribosomal RNA
Source: RNAcentral
CCUACGGGUGGCAGCAGUGGGGAAUAUUGGGCAAUGGGCGCAAGCCUGACCCAGCAACGCCGCGUGAAGGAAGAAGGCUUUCGGGUUGUAAACUUCUUUUGUCAGGGACGAAGCAAGUGACGGUAACUGACGAAUAAGCCACGGCUAACUACGUGCCAGCAGCCGCGGUAAUACGUAGGGGGAAAGCGUUAUCCGGAUUUACUGGGUGGAAAGGGCGUGUAGGCGGGACUGCAAGUCAGAUGUGAAAACCACGGGCUCAACCUGUGGCUUGCAUUGGAAACUGUAGUUCUUGAGUACUGGAGAGGCGGACGGAAUUCCUAGUGUAGCGGUGAAAUGCGUAGAUAUUAGGAGGAACACCAGUGGCGAAGGCGGUCUGCUGGACAGCAACUGACGCUGAGGCGCGAAAGCGUGGGGAGCAAACAGGAUUAGAUACCCCAGUAGUC